UACAGAGGUCUCAAGCGUUGUCCGGAUUUAUUGGGCGUAAAGAGCUCGUAGGCGGCUCAGUAAGUCGGGUGUGAAACCUCCAGGCUCAACCUGGAGACGCCACCCGAUACUGCUGUGGCUUGAGUCCGGUAGGGGAGCGUGGAAUUCCUGGUGUAGCGGUGAAAUGCGCAGAUAUCAGGAGGAACACCAGCGGCGAAGGCGGCGCUCUGGGCCGGAACUGACGCUGAGGAGCGAAAGCGUGGGUAGCAAACAGG
Molecule: ribosomal RNA, 254 nt
Filed under: uncultured bacterium
Lineage: Bacteria
Description: partial 16S ribosomal RNA
Rfam family: Bacterial small subunit ribosomal RNA
Source: RNAcentral